This is a small nuclear RNA of 117 nucleotides. Its record names the gene U5. It matches the Rfam family "U5 spliceosomal RNA". From Rfam's summary of the family: U5 RNA is a component of both types of known spliceosome. The record is from Ensembl.
AUACUCUGGUUUCUCUUCAGAUCGCAUAAAUCUUUCUCCUUUUACUAAAGAUUUCCGUGGAGAGUUUCUCAAAGUUCAUUCCUCCCCAUUCUCUUUAUCUUUCUGGAACUCCAGUUG